ACGAGCCCACGACUCACCCCAUAGGUCGAGGUUGUCACAGCGCCGCGCCGCCCCCCUGCCCGAGCGCGACUCACCCUGCCCACAUCGUCGCGUUGUCCCUGUCCACAGGGUCGCCUGCCCGCCGUCCUGCACGCGAUACACCACUGCUACGCCGCCGGCCCACGCGCCUCCUCCGCUGUGUAGCUAUGUCUCCACCUACGCGCCUUACGCCCGCGCACGCCGAUCUGCAUGCCGGCCGGCCGGCGGCUGCGUCGUUAAGCCACGGAGCCCCUGACCCUCAUCGCCACACGGCCUCCUGCUCAACGACGACAACCUAUGACACUCACUCAUAAAGGGGUGCUACUGGACAUUUAAAUACAAGAAGGCGGAGGUUGACAAGUUCUGUUGGUGUUCCCUAUGUUUCAAUAAAGGAUCGUACAUACACUCUUCUUCUGUAUUUGGGUCCAUGUGGAGUGAUUGGGCCAACUAUGAGCGAUUCUUGCUGCUGAUAAUUUUUCUUCAUGUAUUUAUUUUCUGGCAGGAUGGACAGCAAAGAUAAUAAGGUUUAUGUGCGUGCACUCUCUCCACUCCAUUUCUGCAGCAGUGCAACCCAUCCAUUAAUUUUAUUCCAAACUCUUUAUUUACUACUUGUAGUGUACUUUCACUGUGCAUCAAGUUUUUCCAACAAUAAUAGCAUGUCAAAGGUCGUCUCUCAAAACUUUGGAUAGUGUUGUGGUUAUGGCUGUAAUUCCAAAAAGAAAAACCUCACAUCCGCAUCAUUUCUUGAUAUGCUUUCUUCCUAUUCUUCAAAUUACAAGAAAAGACCUAAAGUUUCAUAAGACAUUUCUCCUGAUUCUUGAAAUGACAAAAAAAACCUUAAGUUUGAAUUAAAACCCAUGGCGAUUUUAUCAGUAAGCAUGAGGUACUUAGUCCUAAUACAUUCCUAACUAAUAGUGGUAAUGUACUCACUGAUUUCACAUGUCCUGGAAAUUGGAUUUCCUAUCAUCUACAGGAUGGCACAGGUAUACUUUGUCAUGCAAGGAUAUUGAUAGUGAAGCCAUGGUCCAAGAUUGUAGAUGCAGCUCAUGAAUGCAUAUAUCAUUAAAAAAAUUAGAGAGCACCUCCACCAUUCCUAGCUACUUUAUUUACAUAUAUAUAUUUUCUGGAUUAUGUAAAAGAAAUUGUUGCAGAAUGAAUUGGAAAUUUCUGAAAUUUAUCGGCAUGUCGACUUGCAUGAGGCUAUAAUAGAAUUUCGAAGUGCACUAAGAUGUCAAUAGAAAGAGGAGAUGUGAACAUUGUAGUUUCACAUUUCUUUCAAAGAGUUGAUAUACAAGAUUCAUCUUGGGUCGACGUUAGUAGACGUUCACCAAAACAUGUGUAAGUAUCACUUAUUUUGAGUCUUCCCCUAAUUUACUAUGGGGGAGUUGUAGAUUUCAUGGUGCUCGGUCAUAAGUGAAGAAUUAGAACAAAAAUUCCAUGCUCAUGUGAACGUGUGAUAUGUUUCUUUUGCCUUAAAUAACUUGUUUUUCUUUAUCCUGAAAUUAUGGUUGUUCAGUUCAAACAUAAACAUUUAGCUAAGAGACUUGUUGAUGUUUGCAACCAUAACAAGGUCAAAUUAUGAACAAUCGAUAUUGAUAGUGAAGCCAUGGUCCAAGAUUGUAGCUGCAGCUCAUUCAAAAAGUUUUAGAGAGCGCCUCCACCAUUCCAAGCUACUUUGUUUACAUAUAUAUUUCCUGGAUUAUGUAAAAUAAAUUGUUGCAGAAUGAAUUGGAAAUUUGUGAAAUUUAUUGGCAUGUAGACUUGCAUGAGGCUAUAAUAGAAUUUCGAAGUGACACUUACGAAAUCCAAUAGAGAUUGGCUUGUCAUAAACAUUUCUUCUUCAGCAAAAAAAUUAGCAUAAUGAAUACUAACCGUUUCUUCAGCAAUUGCUUAUGUCUGAACUAGGUUGUGCUUAUGUUACUGAAGCUGAUCAUUUUUAGCUCGAAGCGAUCCUUCUAUUUCUUUUUGUUCAUAGUCAUGUAGAAGCUCAAUCUGUUAUGGCAAGAAGAUUUCAACGCUACCGUGAAAGAUUGAGGCAUUAAUGUUCUUUCUAGAUAAUUACAUAAGUACUCUUUUCCAAAGUUUGUUUUACCUUACCGAGCCAGUAUGGCUGUAGCAGAAUGUAUGUAUCUGCAUGGGUCUUGGUGUGACCACGGGUAGGUAUGUAUGUAUAUUUUUUUUUCGAAAUGGGGAUUAGAACCCCGGCUUCUGCAUCAUGAUGAUGCACACGGCCUUUGUAUGUAUCUAUUGACAUG
This is a non-coding RNA of Lolium perenne, 2273 nucleotides long. The record is from RefSeq and is a predicted model, not a curated record. Lineage: Eukaryota; Viridiplantae; Streptophyta; Magnoliopsida; Poales; Poaceae.